AGUGAACGCUGGCGGUAGGCCUAACACAUGCAAGUCGAGCGGCAGCAGAGUGCUAGCUCGUGCUUACAGGUGCCGACUGGUGGAUGAGUGCUAGGUAUCUGGGUGGUUGUUUUUGCUAGGGUGCUGAAAUGGGGACUCAUACGGCAUUCGUCCAGAGGAAGUACGUGUGAGAGCAUCGGACCUUACGCUAUCAGAUGAGCCGAUGUCGGAUUAUCUAGUUGGUGGGGUAAAGGCCUACCAAGGCGACGAUCCGUAGCUGGUCUGAGAGGAUGAUCAGCCACACUGGAACUGAGACACGGUCCAGACUCCUACGGGAGGCAGCAGUGGGGAAUAUUGGACAAUGGGCGCAAGCCUGAUCCAGCCAUGCCGCGUGUGUGAAGAAGGUCUUCGGAUUGUAAAGCCCUUUUGGUGGGGAGGAAGAGCAGUAAGUUAAUACCUUGCUGUUUUGACGUUACCCAAAGAAUAAGCACCGGCUAACUUCGUG
This 484-nucleotide ribosomal RNA is filed under the name uncultured bacterium. Its description in RNAcentral is "partial 16S ribosomal RNA". It matches the Rfam family "Bacterial small subunit ribosomal RNA", at positions 29 to 507 of the family's 1533-position model. The record is from RNAcentral.